This 238-nucleotide ribosomal RNA is filed under the name uncultured bacterium. RNAcentral's name for it is "partial 16S ribosomal RNA". It matches the Rfam family "Bacterial small subunit ribosomal RNA", at positions 100 to 339 of the family's 1533-position model. The record is from RNAcentral.
GCACGGGUGAGUAAUACAUAGGAACGUACCUAUAGGUGGGGAAUAACCACGGGAAACUGUGGCUAAUACCGCAUGUGAUUGCAAAAUCAAAGGAGGCCUCUUCUUGAAAGCUUUCGCCUGUAGAUCGGCCUAUGGCCCAUUAGCUAGUUGGUAGGGUAAUGGCCUACCAAGGCAUCGAUGGGUAGCUGGUCUGAGAGGAUGAUCAGCCACACUGGGACUGAGACACGGCCCAGACUCC